AAAACCGUUCAGGGGUAAACCUGAGAAACCCAAAAAAUCGAAUGGGGAGAUUCAUCGUCAGCCGGCUUGAGCUUGCGUGUGGUUCGCGAUGACCGGAGCCUCGGCUCUCGCGUCACGCAAUCGCUGCGUCAUGUCCGAGUUGGCCGGCGUGCACUUCUCCCCUAGUAGGACGUCGCGAUUCGUUGGGUGUCGGUUUACGGACCGGUAGGUAGCCUGGUGAGUUACGUUCACGCGUACCACUCGCCAGACCUCCGGCUUCCCAACCGGCUGCCCGGCGAUAUAAAACGAUAAUCCAAUGGCAUUGAGCCGCGUUGAACGCGUUUUCGGCUCGUCGGCAGAUUCGCCUCGCUCGGAUUUACGGACCUAGCGCCGUUGCCGGGUGCUUGGCGGGUCGUUCGCCGGCGAUGUCCUCGAACUGGCUCAAAAAUAUUCUUACAGAAUAUGCCGAUCGGCGACGCUACUGCUUUGGGUACUUUCAGGACCCGUCUUGAAACACGGACCAAGGAGUCUAACAUGUGCGCGAGUCAUUGAGUCUUAUCUAAGCUUAAAGGCGUAAUGAAAGUAAAGAUCGUCCAAGCGUCGACCUAGGGAGGGUGGCCGACGUUACGAUGUCGGCUAGCACUCCCGGGGUUGCUC
RNAcentral lists this ribosomal RNA (636 nucleotides) under Encarsia citrina. Its description in RNAcentral is "LSU rRNA". It matches the Rfam family "Eukaryotic large subunit ribosomal RNA", at positions 401 to 772 of the family's 3401-position model. Lineage: Eukaryota; Metazoa; Arthropoda; Insecta; Hymenoptera; Aphelinidae. The record is from RNAcentral.